CGACGACGUGUUCGUCAACUCGUUCCAUGAGCUCGAGACCAAGUCAGAAGUAUUGGCUCCUGCUGUGAAAGGUACUUCAAAUGUGCUAAAGGCUUGCUCGGCUAUGAAGGUUCAGAAGAUUUUUCUAUUCGCUGUUGCAAAGGAGUCCUCGAAAUUCCUGCCCAUCUUGAAGGAAACAGCAAAAUCAUUGAAGGGAAAGGUACUUUGUUCUGUUGAUCGGA
This is a long non-coding RNA of Hordeum vulgare subsp. vulgare (domesticated barley), 221 nucleotides long. RefSeq lists it as uncharacterized. The record is from RefSeq and is a predicted model, not a curated record. The transcript is spliced from 3 exons. Lineage: Eukaryota; Viridiplantae; Streptophyta; Magnoliopsida; Poales; Poaceae.